UGUACGCGAAGAACCUUACCUGGGCUUGACAUGUAAUGAACAACAUGUGAAAGCAUGCGACUCUUCGGAGGCGUUACACAGGUGCUGCAUGGCCGUCGUCAGCUCGUGUCGUGAGAUGUUUGGUUAAGUCCAGCAACGAGCGCAACCCCUGUUGCCAGUUACCAGCACGUGAAGGUGGGGACUCUGGCGAGACUGCCCAGAUCAACUGGGAGGAAGGUGGGGACGACGUCAGGUCAGUAUGGCCCUUAUGCCCAGGGCUGCACACGUACUACAAUGCCCAGUACAGAGGGGGCCGAAGCCGCGAGGCGGAGGAAAUCCUAAAAACUGGGCCCAGUUCGGACUGUAGGCUGCAACCCGCCUACACGAAGCCGGAAUCGCUAGUGAUGGCGCAUCAGCUACGGCGCCGUGAAUACGUUCCCGGGUCUUGUUCACUCCG
Molecule: ribosomal RNA, 436 nt
Filed under: uncultured bacterium
Lineage: Bacteria
Description: bacterial SSU rRNA
Rfam family: Bacterial small subunit ribosomal RNA
Source: RNAcentral